This 254-nucleotide ribosomal RNA is filed under the name uncultured bacterium. Its description in RNAcentral is "partial 16S ribosomal RNA". It matches the Rfam family "Bacterial small subunit ribosomal RNA", at positions 524 to 776 of the family's 1533-position model. The record is from RNAcentral.
CACGUAGGGUGCGAGCGUUGUCCGGAAUUAUUGGGCGUAAAGAGCUCGUAGGCGGUGUGUCGCGUCGGCCGUGAAAACCUGCAGCUUAACUGUGGGCUUGCGGUCGAUACGGGCAUCACUGGAGUUCGGCAGGGGAGACUGGAAUUCCUGGUGUAGCGGUGAAAUGCGCAGAUAUCAGGAGGAACACCGGUGGCGAAGGCGGUUCUCUGGGCAUUACCUGACGCUGAGGAGCGAAAGCAUGGGGAGCAAACAGG